UGAGAAGUCGAUCUCGACCUGUUCUCACACCCCAAAGUGGAGGUUUGUCUGCAAAGUAGAGCCUAGAGAGAGGGAGAGAGAGGGAGAGAGGGAGAGAGGGAGAGAGAGAGAAAAAAUAACUGCAAACAUCUAUCACACUGCUACAAAUUUUUGUGACGUUCUUCUUAUUCUCUCUCUCCUCCGCGCUUUCCUUUAUUGCUAGUAUCAUUAUUCCUUUUUAUUUCUCUCUCCUCCCUAACCACUUGUACCUUUCUUCAAUCACCGGUGACUGCAACUGUUCUUCACUAGGUGCCUUUUUUUUUUGUCGACAUUAUAUACUUUUCCCAUCCCCGUGGGUGGAUAUCUCGGAGUCGAAUGGCCAGUGAGUGAAGUAAGCAGCCGAUCUCGAUUCUCGACCGGUUCUCUCACACUUCGGAGGGAGGAGUUUUGAGUAUUUUCAAAAAUUUCACUCAGUUUCGCACCAAGUACAGUCUCUAGCGAACUGAACACAGAAAGAAAAAGAAGAGAGAGAGAGCGAGAGGGAUGGAGGUUAGAACUCGCGCUCCUGGGAAAAUCAUUUUUUCAGGUGAGCACGCUGUGGUCCAUGGAUCUACAGCCAUAGCAGCUUCCAUCGAUCUCUACACUCGAGUUGCUCUGCAGAUAUCGAGCGAUUCAGAGAAUGGUGAAGGCUUACUAAAACUUCAGCUCAAGGACAUGGGAUUAGAAUUUUUAUGGUCAAUCAGAAGAAUUAGGGAGAUGCUUCCUGACCUGAGUGCUCCCCUUCCCUCACAGCCAAUGGCAUGUUCCUCAGAAUCUAUGGAAUCUAUUGCUGUUCUUGUCGAGGAACAGAGUAUCCCAGAGGCAAAAGUGGGACUUGCUUCUGGAAUUUUGGCUUUCCUCUGGUUGUACACUUCAAUCCAAGGUUUGAAGCCUGCAACAAUUGUGGUCACUUCUGAUCUUCCUUUUGGUGCGGGUUUAGGUUCUUCUGCUUCAUUAUGUGUUGCACUCUCUGGUGCUCUGCUUGCACUGUCAGAUGUUACUAAUUUGGAUCUCAGCUCACAAGGAUGGUUAACAUUUGGUGAAAGCGAGCUCGAUUUAGUAAACAUGUGGGCUUUUGAAGCUGAAAAAAUAAUUCACGGCAAGCCGUCUGGACUAGACAACACUGUGAGCACAUUUGGCAACAUGAUCAUGUUUAAGUCGGGUAAAUUGACCUGCAUCAAGUCUGGUAUGCCACUCAGAAUGCUCAUUACUAACACAAAAGUUGGGAGGAACACAAAAGCAUUAGUUGCUGGUGUUUCUGAGAGGACCUCUAGGCACCCAGAUGCCAUGAAUGCUGUGUUUUCUGCUGUUGAUUACAUCAGCAAAGAACUCUCCACAAUUAUUCAGUCGCCUGUUCAUGAUGACCUGUCUGUAACUAAGAAGGAAGAGAAGAUUGAGGAGCUGAUGGAGAUGAAUCAAGGUCUGCUCCAAUGCAUGGGGGUCAGCCAUGCUUCUAUAGAAACUGUACUUCGAACAACUUUGAAGUACAAAUUGUCUUCUAAGCUGACAGGGGCAGGAGGUGGAGGCUGUGUUUUGACAUUUUUGCCAGCACUUUUAUCAGGGACAGUUGUUGAUAAAGUAAUUGUUGAGCUCGAGUCAUGCGGGUUUCAAUGCUUAAUAGCUGGGAUUGGUGUGAAAGGCCUUGAGAUCUGCUUUGGUGGGUCAUCCUGAUUCCUUUUCCUUUCCAGGGUUGGUGUUGUAUCAAGCCAUUGUCCACAGUAACUGGAGAUCACCUCCAUUGAAUAAACCCCACCUGGGUUGCUGCUGAGUUCCUCAUCAUCAAGCUGGGCUACUGCUGAGCACUACAUCAUCAAGCUGGACCUUUUUCCUCGUCAAAUAAGGUGGACUGCACCUCUGUUUUGGAGGACUUCGGCUUCUCCAUUUCUUCUCAGAUCGGGACAGCAAGAAGGUUCAGCAUCAACUAUUUGUUCAGUUGACUGUUAAGAGUACUUCACCAUAUUAUACUUUGACUUCAUCUUAGAUCUAUUAUUUUCUGAUACACCAUUGUUCAGUUGACUUGGACGAUAUUAAAGUUUUCUUGUUAUGUAUUAUUUGGCUUGAAACAUGUGUAUCGCUUCUGCAAGUAUGAAGAAAACUUGUAAGCUAUAUAAAGGGUGUUUUUAUUAUGUCUUAGGGUCAGCUUAGAAUGAAAAAAGUUGUUGCUUUCCUUCU
This is an RNA transcript of Macadamia integrifolia, 2190 nucleotides long. It is a transcript of the gene named mevalonate kinase, with no coding region annotated. The transcript is spliced from 7 exons. The record is from RefSeq and is a predicted model, not a curated record. NCBI's taxonomy places the organism in Eukaryota, Viridiplantae, Streptophyta, Magnoliopsida, Proteales, Proteaceae.